UUUAAUUAGUUUGUCUGCAUCGCGCUGAUCGGAUGCCUUUUUGUUCAUAUUAUGUUAUUUACUAUGAUUCGUUUUUGUCUUUAUACUAGAACUGUUUGAAUUUAAAGCACAAACAGUAAAACAUUAAGGGUAUACAUGGUACACAGCGGUAAACAUGAGGUUAAAAAUACGCGAAGUAACAUUCAAACCGGGCUGUUAAAAGAAUAAAUUCGAUGUUUAAGUUUUUAAAAACAAAACUUUAAAGACGCCUUCUUUGCUUAAAACAAACAAAACAACAGUAACUUGUGUGUUGGAAAUGUUAGAAGCAAGUGCAAGUGUCUCUCUGCUAUUUUAAAUGAUACAGACGAUCUUUUGUUGUUUAAAAGCUCAUUGCUUUAGUUCUGGUAGAUGCUGCUUAUUUUUCGAGACGGUUUUAAUACCUUUAUAUUGAUUUGUAACAAAGCCAGCUUCACUUUGAGAGAACCUAGAUGCUAAUUGUAAAGAAGCUUGGAUUCAUAAUAUAUUUUAACGUAAUAUGUUUGCUGUUCUUCAUCUUUUUAAAUAUGAAGUCUAUCCAUGUUUGUGUUUACAGAGGUCAUGUACACUGUGGUCAACUUUGUGGACGCUGAAGAGGUUUCUGGGUAAAGAUGAUAGAAAUAUAAUGAAGUAACAGUGGAAGCUAAAACAUCAGACUGAUCCAGACACUGAAGAAAUUGAUGUCACUGCAAUCUGGCCAAAAUGAUACAACUAUAUUGAAGUAGCCUACUGUAAUGAAGCUGCAGAACUUCACAGAGACUCUGAGGACAUCAACACAGAAAAUCUAGGCUCCAAAGAGAUGUCUGUCCAGAUGAGGGUGCAUCAACGUUACCUUGGCUGACAAGUAUAUGCUUUUAGCAGUUAACUUAACUCAAACCAUUUAAGGAAAUCGGUUGCCUUAAACCAUUAAGUUUUAAAAAACAUACAUUUGAGUACUGUGAACCUAAGUCUUGUGCAAUUAUGCACUUAUAUUUAGGUAGUGCUUAACUGCAUGUGACUCAUUUGUUUAAGUUCACAGUACUCAAAUCUAUGUGUUUUAAAACUUGAAGGGUUUAAUCUAACCGGUUUUCUUAAAUGUGAGAAAUUACAGUGAGAAAUGUUUGAAUAAUUCCAAGACAGAGCUCUGUGAUUGAUUCUACACUGCAAAAAAUCACUUUCUAACACUUUUUAUCUUGUUUUCAGUAGAAAAACUAAAAAUUCUUAAAUCAUGAUGUAUUUUCUUGAUGAGCGAAAUUACCUUAGAAAAUAUGUCUAGUUUUUAGACAAAAAUAUACAAUUAAAGAUAAUCUGUGCCUAAAAAAGAAAAAAUAUCUAACAAUGGGGUGAGAAAAUUGUGUUUUAAUUAAGUUUUUAAGAUAAAAGAAAACUUAAGAUUUUUUUUCUCACACUAUUGGCAGAUAUUUUUGCUUGGUUUAAGCACAAAUUCACUUAAUGUGUGUGUAUUUUAUUUAUUUAUUUUAAUUUAAAUAAUAUUUCUACUGAAAACAAGACAAAAAUACUAUGUAAGAAAGUCAUUUUUUGCAGUGUAGGACUGAUUUCUUAAGAGCAAGAUCAAUAUAGUUGUUGUUCAUUUUAUUUAGAUAUUUACUACAUUACAGUGGCAGAUGGUGACUACUUUUUUUGUGAGCUCUCGAUGCGAAGUUUGUCACAACAUGUAAAUAGCCCGUCAUUUGUGUGGUUCCCAAUUUCAAAAUAUGUGUAUGUGCAUCACGUGUUUUGACUAAACACGUGAUGCACGUGGUUUACAUGAAGCAACAAACACAUAUUUUAAAAACACAAGCAACACACAUGACACUCCGAACACUUAUUUUGAAUUUGCAACCCUCGGAUGAGCAGUCACGAGCUGCCACUGCUACAUUGCAUUGUACUGCUUUGAAUGCAGUUUUCAUUGUUGCUUUUAUUUUGUUUUAUUUUACUCUAAUAUUGCUUUCUCUGUCUGUAUAUUUAUGAGUUUAAAUUGUGUUGUUUAUGUAUGCAACUUUUAAUAUUUGUGUAUUAUAUUAUUUUGUGAUUGUGACAAUUGUGGAUUGUUCAGUUUUUUUUUUUAAAUAAACGUUUCAAACUCAAUUCAAGUUUUUAUUUUUUUUUAAGGGUUUUGGGGAUGUAUAGUAGUAUAAAGUGGGGGGGGGGGGUUGUAGUCUAUCUGCAUAGCAGGCAAAUAACCAAUCAAGUCACUAAGCUAUGAGGGCUUGGGUUGGGCUUAAAACAAAGUGUAACCAAUCAAAUCAUCUCAACUGGAAAGUUCAAAGUUGUGUCCCAAUAGUUGUCAGAGUUUUGGGAGGGGGUUUUAAAAGCAACCAAUCAGUGUUGAGAUUAAACACCAAUGGGGACACUAGAAUUGUGCAAAGGUGUGAAAUUCCAGUACCUCUGUAGGUGUGAAAGUGGCCCCUGCCAAAAUCUUCAAUGGGAUUACUUGCCAUGGCAACAAAUGGCUGCAUAUUCCACCGGGAUAUCCCCUCAGCAAGAUACAUCCGAAUUGGUAUCAUUACGGGAGUUUCCUAACUUGGUGGAAUUAGUAGUUUACCCUGAGUGGAACUAGUAGAUACUUCCGAAAAUCAGUGGUGUUUACAGGAG
Non-coding RNA from Misgurnus anguillicaudatus (oriental weatherfish), 2589 nucleotides. The record is from RefSeq and is a predicted model, not a curated record. Lineage: Eukaryota; Metazoa; Chordata; Actinopteri; Cypriniformes; Cobitidae.